GAUGAACGCUGGCGGCGUGCCUAAUACAUGCAAGUCGAGCGAACAGACGAGGAGCUUGCUCCUCUGACGUUAGCGGCGGACGGGUGAGUAACACGUGGAUAACCUACCUAUAAGACUGGGAUAACUUCGGGAAACCGGAGCUAAUACCGGAUAAUAUAUUGAACCGCAUGGUUCAAUAGUGAAAGACGGUUUUGCUGUCACUUAUAGAUGGAUCCGCGCUGCAUUAGCUAGUUGGUAAGGUAACGGCUUACCAAGGCGACGAUGCGUAGCCGACCUGAGAGGGUGAUCGGCCACACUGGAACUGAGACACGGUCCAGACUCCUACGGGAGGCAGCAGUAGGGAAUCUUCCGCAAUGGGCGAAAGCCUGACGGAGCAACGCCGCGUGAGUGAUGAAGGUCUUCGGAUCGUAAAACUCUGUUAUUAGGGAAGAACAAAUGUGUAAGUAACUAUGCACGUCUUGACGGUACCUAAUCAGAAAGCCACGGCUAACUACGU
RNAcentral lists this ribosomal RNA (496 nucleotides) under uncultured bacterium. RNAcentral describes it as "partial 16S ribosomal RNA". It matches the Rfam family "Bacterial small subunit ribosomal RNA", at positions 28 to 506 of the family's 1533-position model. The record is from RNAcentral.